RNAcentral lists this ribosomal RNA (429 nucleotides) under Verrucomicrobiota bacterium. RNAcentral's name for it is "Verrucomicrobia bacterium partial 16S ribosomal RNA". It matches the Rfam family "Bacterial small subunit ribosomal RNA", at positions 355 to 776 of the family's 1533-position model. Lineage: Bacteria; Pseudomonadati; Verrucomicrobiota. The record is from RNAcentral.
UAGGGAAUCUUCCGCAAUGGACGAAAGUCUGACGGAGCAACGCCGCGUGAGUGAAGAAGGAUUUCGGUUCGUAAAACUCUGUUGUUAGGGAAGAAAAAAUGUAUAGUAACUAUAUACAAAAGAGACGGUACCUAACCAGAAAGCCACGGCUAACUACGUGCCAGCAGCCGCGGUAAUACGUAGGUGGCAAGCGUUGUCCGGAAUUACUGGGCGUAAAGCGCACGUAGGCGGACUAUUAAGUCAGGGGUGAAAUCCCGGGGCUCAACCCCGGAACUGCCUUUGAUACUGGUAGUCUUGAGUUCGAGAGAGGUGAGUGGAAUUCCGAGUGUAGAGGUGAAAUUCGUAGAUAUUCGGAGGAACACCAGUGGCGAAGGCGGCUCACUGGCUCGAUACUGACGCUGAGGUGCGAAAGCGUGGGGAGCAAACAGG